GACGAACGCUGGCGGCGUGCUUAACACAUGCAAGUCGAACGGAAAGGCCCUGCUUUCGUGGGGUUCUGGAGUGGCGAACGGGUGAGUAACAGGUAAGUAACCUGCCCUUCACUUUGGGGUAACAUCAGGAAACUGGGGUUAAUACCGGAUAGGAGACCCUGUUGCAUGGUGGGCGUGGGAAAGUUUCGGCGGGUGGGGAUGGAUUCGCGGCUUAUCAGCUUGUUGGUGGGGUAGGGGCUUACCAAGGCUGUGGCGGGUAGCCGGCCUGAGAGGGUGGACGGCCACAUUGCGACUGAGAUACGGAGCAGACUCGUACGGGAGGCAGCAGGGGGGAAUAUUGCACAAUGGGCGGAAGCCUGAUGCAGAGGCGCCGCGUGCGGGAUGACGGCCUGCGGGUUGUGAACCGCUGUCGCCUGUGACGAAGCGUGAGUGACGGUAAUGGGUAAAGAAGCACCGGCUAACUACGUG
This 468-nucleotide ribosomal RNA is filed under the name uncultured bacterium. RNAcentral's name for it is "partial 16S ribosomal RNA". It matches the Rfam family "Bacterial small subunit ribosomal RNA", at positions 28 to 507 of the family's 1533-position model. The record is from RNAcentral.